Acanthosepion pharaonis is the source of this 114-nucleotide non-coding RNA. The record is from the annotation of a GenBank genome assembly. NCBI's taxonomy places the organism in Eukaryota, Metazoa, Mollusca, Cephalopoda, Sepiida, Sepiidae.
UUACGGCCACAUCAUGUUGAAACACCUGUUCCCGCAAAUUCACCGAAGUUAAGCAACGUUCACCCUGGUCAGUAGAUAGAUGGGUGACUGCUUGGGAAUACCAGGUGCUGUAAG